UUUUAAUAUUUUUAAUGACACGUGGUGCCCAGUCAUUGUCCACAUGGGCGCCACAUCAUCACUUAACGGAAGAAUUAACAGUUUGACUAACGGAUGUAUGAGACUAUCCCAAAAUUAACACUUUAGGUAUGACUCUGGGUCGAAAAAUACUUGAUGUACAAAUUGUUGAAAACCACGAAACAUGAGGGUAGUAAACAGAGUUUCACCCAAAAAAAAAUGUCUUGUUGAUUGAAAAGUCACAUCAACCAACACAAAACAAAGACUUUAUGUAAUCAACCAAAACUUUGAAUCAAAUCACCAAACUUUUUGUUCUUGGUAUGAACAAAGCAAGAACAUUGAAGAACAUCCAUGAAAACCCAUAAGAGCUCCAUGAAUGUCUUCUCUCAAUAGAACUCAAAUUUUCACUACUCAAAAGGGGGUUAACAUCCUAGGGUCCUUAGGGGUUCGAAAAGUCACUUUAAAACACUUUAACAAGACAACCAUGAACCCAAAAAUUCACCCUUUGGAUUUGGCCGAAUUUCCCCAUAAACGUGGCACCAAAUUUUAGCUCCAAAAUUCGUGCUCAUAUGAACUACAUCUACAACGUUUGAGAUGGCAAAUUUUCUAGCAAAAUUUACAUUCAAAGAAGCAAGACUAUGAACUACAAAACCCAAAAGGAUACACCAACUACUAGACCUAGGCUCUGAUACCACUUGAAGGAAAUAUUUGUGAAAACAACUUCAUUUGAGCAACAUCUACAACAUGCAAUUAACAAUUAAAGGCGGAAUCAUGCUUAUAUGCACUCAAAAACAAAACUUUACCCAUGAAAUUCAAAGCCUAGUAGUUGGGUGAACCAAGACUCAACUCAUGAACAAAGUGAGUUGAGAAAUAUUAUACCUUUGUUGAUUCCUCUUUGCAUAACCAAGGGCUAAUCACCCAAGAGAUAGGGCCUUCAUUCCUUGCUUCUUUGCUCCAUGGAUUUCUUGGAGGAGGAUGGUGGAAUGGAUUAUCCAAGUUCCCAAGAAAGGCAACCUCCAAGUCCCCACACCAAGGAGAGCAUUGAUGAGGAGAUGAGUGACCUAGGAAGAUUUAAUGGGCUUGACAUUCAAAUCCUAUUGGGCCUUGCGGCCCAAAACUAACCCAAGGUCUAUAAUAAACAUAUUUGUUUGAUUAAUUGACAUAUUAAUUAAUCCUAGCCAUAAAUAAUUAAACCAUUUAAUUAUCCUUACUCAUCUCUGUUGUUUCUUCAAUCUCUACAUUACUCGGCGUACGAUCCAUUAGGUUCCUUUUAGCGAGGCAGUGGGCAAUUGUUACUCUUAACGAUUGAUUGUGAAUUGAAACAUGCUUUCAAUCUCCCUUUAGUGAUUACUCACCUUUAGGGCUUCCACAAACCAUGAGUGACACCUAGCAGUAUGUCAUGGUUACCCAGGCUAAUCAGAAGAGGUGGAGAACCUAUUCAGUUUAGGAUUACAAUGCAAUACGGUCUUUCUCUAAUACUCUCUUGACCACAUUGUUUGGUUUGAUAGUUUAUUCAUAUCUACUAUCCAAUGUGAUUUUCUUACUUAUAUGAUUACCUUUAAUGUGAUUUGGAACAACUUUCUAAAUCUCAUUCAGACUCUGGCCAGAGAUUCUUAAUCAUAUCAUAUAGAAUUAUCCCUCAAACAGUUUAAAGGUUAGUGAUCCCUUGUUGCGCACUCACUUGCCUCCAUGGCUAAGCAGCUUAACCCCAACUAUGUCGUGGACGCCCUCUAAUGGAGUGACUUUGACAUAGUCAAAGAUCAAGGACCUAAGCACAAGACGACUAUGAUGCCUCAAGUCAAAUGACUACUUUGCAUUAUUCCAACCAUGAAUUCUCAUGUGACAUAUGUAUGAGAACUCCUUGUUGAUCAUGUUCAAUGGACUCAUUCUCUAUUGAGUAUUUACAUGCUUGUCUUGGUGUUAGUCACACCAAUAACUCGAGACCAGUCAGUCUCCCUCAAAGAAACAUAACACGUAAUGGUCUUAAUGGACUGUCAAUGCCCAAUUUGAAGGAAAUAUUUGUGAAAACAAGUUCAUUUGAGCAACAUCUAUGCAUGAUAUUAACAAUUAAGAGGCAUAAUCAUGCUUGUAUGCACUAAAAAACAAAACUUAACCCAUGAAAUUCAAAUCCUAGUAGUUAUGGUGAACCAAGACUCAACUCAAAACAAAGUGAGUUGAGAAAUCUUAUACCUGUGUUGAUUCCUCUUUGCUUAAGCAAAGGCUAAUCACCCAAGAGAGAUGGCCACCAUUCCUUUCUUUUUAGCUCCAUGGAUUUCUUGGAGGAGGAUGGUAGAAUGGAUUCUCCAAGUUCACAAAAUAAAGAACCUCUAAGUCUCCACACCAAGGAGAGCAUUGAUGAAUAGAUGAGUGACUUACGAAGAGAUAGAUGCAAGUAAUCUCUCCCUAGGGUGGCCGGCCUCUUAGAGAGAAAAGGGAGCUUGUGUUCUCAUCUUUUCUCCAAAAGAAACCCUAAAUGAAUUUUGGCUACAAAGUUCUUUAUAUAGUCACUUCACUUAAGUGACUUAAAGAACAAAACCCUAUUUUUAUCACAUGGCCGGCCUACCAUAGGCAUUGGGCCGUUUGGGCCCUUUUAAAUUUUAAAUCAUUUAAGUUGUCAUACAACUUAAGUUAAUGGGCUUGACAUUAGAAGCCAAUUGGGCCUUGAGGCCCAAUACUAACCCGAGGUUUAAAUCGAACUUAUUCGUUUGAUUAAUUAACAUAUGAAUUAAUCCUAGCCAUACAAAAUUAAACCAUUUAAUUGUUCUUACUCAACUCCAUUGUUUCUUCAAUCUCUAUCUUACACGGUGUACGAUCCAUUGAAGGAAAAAUUUUGUCCUAGCUAAAAACAAGUAUGAACAUUUGAAUACUCAUGCAAGCUAUUAACACUUUAAAGUAGGCAUGCAUUCAAAAACAAUUC
Molecule: long non-coding RNA, 2914 nt
Filed under: Malus domestica (apple)
Lineage: Eukaryota; Viridiplantae; Streptophyta; Magnoliopsida; Rosales; Rosaceae
Description: long non-coding RNA (MDOM_LNC000298)
Source: RNAcentral